RNAcentral lists this ribosomal RNA (589 nucleotides) under uncultured Wolbachia sp. RNAcentral describes it as "bacterial SSU rRNA". It matches the Rfam family "Bacterial small subunit ribosomal RNA", at positions 94 to 718 of the family's 1533-position model. The record is from RNAcentral. Lineage: Bacteria; Pseudomonadati; Pseudomonadota; Alphaproteobacteria; Rickettsiales; Anaplasmataceae.
AGUGGCAGACGGGUGAGUAAUGUAUAGGAAUCUACCUAGUAGUACGGAAUAAUUGUUGGAAACGGCAACUAAUACCGUAUACGCCCUACGGGGGAAAGAUUUAUCGCUAUUAGAUGAGCCUAUAUUAGAUUAGCUAGUUGGUAAGGUAAUGGCUUACCAAGGCAAUGAUCUAUAGCUGAUCUGAGAGGAUGAUCAGCCACACUGGAACUGAGAUACGGUCCAGACUCCUACGGGAGGCAGCAGUGGGGAAUAUUGGACAAUGGGCGAAAGCCUGAUCCAGCCAUGCCGCAUGAGUGAAGAAGGCCUUUGGGUUGUAAAGCUCUUUCGGUGAGGAAGAUAAUGACGGUACUCACAGAAGAAGUCCUGGCUAACUCCGUGCCAGCAGCCGCGGUAAUACGGAGAGGGCUAGCGUUAUUCGGAAUUAUUGGGCGUAAAGAGCGCGUANGCUGGUUAGUAAGUUAAAAGUGAAAUCCCAAAGCUCAACUUUGGAAUUGCUUUUAAAACUGCUAACCUAGAGAUUGAAAGAGGAUAGAGGAAUUCCUAGUGUAGAGGUGAAAUUCGUAAAUAUUANNAGGAACACCAGUGNCGA